AAUCUUAAAAUGUUUUUCUUACAAUUUCAAGAGAGUUAAAAGUUAUUUUAUUGGUGUAAGCAAAGGAUGAAAUCUAUAAUUAUAAAUAAGUAAAAUCAUUUAUUAAAUGGAAAGUUAAGAAAUAUGGCUAAUAUUAUUAAGUUUGUUUAUGCGAUGAUUAUCAUUCUUUCUCUAUUUUUCGCUGUAACAAAUGUUGAAUCAUUGCACAAAAAUAGACAUUGUUUUGAAGAUUCAGAUUGUAUUAAAGAGAAUUGUAGAAGACCUACGGUAAACAGAUGUGUCGGACGUUUGUGUAAAUGUAUAGCAGUAUUUCAAAAACCCCUAUCAAAGAGUACCUGAAUUCAGAAAUUUUAGUCACGUAGUUAUAUAUUAGGGUCUUAAAAUAAUAUAUUUACUUCCUUAUGUAAUUUCAAUAUGGUAUUUUUAUGAUUUUGUAAUUUAAGAUGAUGGAUAUGAAAUAAAAUAAGUUAGCAAAUCAUAUUUAUUAA
Molecule: long non-coding RNA, 488 nt
Organism: Vicia villosa (hairy vetch)
Lineage: Eukaryota; Viridiplantae; Streptophyta; Magnoliopsida; Fabales; Fabaceae
Exons: 2
Source: RefSeq, a predicted model, not a curated record